RNAcentral lists this ribosomal RNA (427 nucleotides) under uncultured bacterium. Its description in RNAcentral is "bacterial SSU rRNA". It matches the Rfam family "Bacterial small subunit ribosomal RNA", at positions 355 to 774 of the family's 1533-position model. The record is from RNAcentral.
UGGGGAAUUUUGGACAAUGGGCGAAAGCCUGAUCCAGCAAUGCCGCGUGCAGGAUGAAGGCCUUCGGGUUGUAAACUGCUUUUGUACGGAACGAAAAAGCUUCUCCUAAUACGAGAGGCCCAUGACGGUACCGUAAGAAUAAGCACCGGCUAACUACGUGCCAGCAGCCGCGGUAAUACGUAGGGUGCGAGCGUUAAUCGGAAUUACUGGGCGUAAAGCGUGCGCAGGCGGUUAUGUAAGUCAGAUGUGAAAUCCCCGGGCUCAACCUGGGAACUGCAUUUGUGACUGCAUGGCUAGAGUACGGUAGAGGGGGAUGGAAUUCCGCGUGUAGCAGUGAAAUGCGUAGAUAUGCGGAGGAACACCGAUGGCGAAGGCAAUCCCCUGGGCCUGUACUGACGCUCAUGCACGAAAGCGUGGGGAGCAAACA